This 262-nucleotide long non-coding RNA is filed under the name Citrus sinensis (sweet orange). Its description in RNAcentral is "long non-coding RNA (CSIN_LNC003265)". Lineage: Eukaryota; Viridiplantae; Streptophyta; Magnoliopsida; Sapindales; Rutaceae. The record is from RNAcentral.
UUCCCACCAAGAUUAACAAGGGUACUGUUGAAAUUAUCACACCUGUGGAGCUUAUUAGGAAGGGUGACAAGGUGGGAUCUUCUGAGGCAGCCCUGCUUGCAAAGCUUGGGAUUAGACCCUUCUCUUAUGGUCUUGUUGUCCAGUCUGUCUAUGAAAACGGUUCCGUCUACAGCCCAGAGGUCCUUGACCUGUCUGAAGAUGACCUAGUGGAGAAGUUCGCCUCAAGUGUAUCAAUGGUCACCGCUCUGGCACUUGCCAUCUC